RNAcentral lists this ribosomal RNA (723 nucleotides) under uncultured Psathyrellaceae. Its description in RNAcentral is "eukaryotic LSU rRNA". The stretch from base 311 to 464 matches the Rfam family "5.8S ribosomal RNA". The record is from RNAcentral. Lineage: Eukaryota; Fungi; Basidiomycota; Agaricomycetes; Agaricales; Psathyrellaceae.
UCUUGGCUCAUUUAGAGGAAGUAAAAGUCGUAACAAGGUUUCGGUAGGUGAACCUGCGGAAGGAUCAUUAACGAAUAACUAUGGUGUCUUGGUUGUCGCUGGCUCCUCGGAGCAUCGUGCACGCCCGCCAUUUUUAUCUAUCCACCUGUGCACCGAAUGUAGGUCUGGAUGACUCUCGCCUUCGGGCGGAUGCGAGGUUUGCGUGCGAGCGCUCUCCUCGAAUUUCCAGGCUCUACGUCUCUUUACACACCCCAAACGUAUGAUGCAGAAUGUAGUCAAUGGGCCUUUACAAGCCUAUAAAACACUAUACAACUUUCAGCAACGGAUCUCUUGGCUCUCGCAUCGAUGAAGAACGCAGCGAAAUGCGAUAAGUAAUGUGAAUUGCAGAAUUCAGUGAAUCAUCGAAUCUUUGAACGCACCUUGCGCUCCUUGGUAUUCCGAGGAGCAUGCCUGUUUGAGUGUCAUUAAAUUCUCAACCUCACCGGUUUUCUGAACCGUUCUCCGAGGCUUGGAUGUGGGGGUCUGUGCAGGUCGCCUCAGCGCGGUCUGCUCCCCUGAAACGCAUUAGCGAGAUUCAUUCUGGACCUCCGUCUAUCGGUGUGAUAAUUAUCUACGUCGUUGACUUGGUUCGGACUCGCUUCUAACCGUCCGCGAGGACAACAUUACUUGACAAUUUGACCUCAAAUCAGGUAGGACUACCCGCUGAACUUAAGCAUAUCAUAG